RNAcentral lists this ribosomal RNA (373 nucleotides) under uncultured organism. RNAcentral describes it as "partial 16S ribosomal RNA". It matches the Rfam family "Bacterial small subunit ribosomal RNA", at positions 527 to 896 of the family's 1533-position model. The record is from RNAcentral.
GUAGGUGGCAAGCGUUGUCCGGAAUUAUUGGGCGUAAAGCGCGCGCAGGGCGGUUCUUUAAGUCUGAUGUGAAAGCCCACGGCUCAACCGUGGAGGGUCAUUGGAAACUGGAGAACUUGAGUACAGAAGAGGAAAGCGGAAUUCCACGUGUAGCGGUGAAAUGCGUAGAGGUGUGGAGGAACACCAGUGGCGAAGGCGGCUUUCUGGUCUGUAACUGACGCUGAGGCGCGAAAGCGUGGGGAGCAAACAGGAUUAGAUACCCUGGUAGUCCACGCCGUAAACGAUGAGUGCUAAGUGUUAGGGGGUUUCCGCCCCUUAGUGCUGCAGCUAACGCAUUAAGCACUCCGCCUGGGGAGUACGACCGCAAAGGUUG